UGUUAAAUACCUGUCAUAAAGCUAGAUAACCGAAAGUAGAAAUGACUUCCAUGGCGGUGUUUCCAGUCCAGAGAGCAAAGAGUGGCUCCUCAACUGGAUUUGAACUUAAAGCAAACAAAUAAAUAAAUAAAAAAGAUUUGGGAUUCCUAAACAGAAAAAAAUGAAGAGACGGUGUAAAAAGCGGUCGGUCUGGAUUUGCCGGCUCCUCUCGCCCUCACCCACUUUACCCAGGAGCCCCUGAUGCCAUCUGCAUUGGCAGUGGGGAAGUUCGUCCUGUGCCAGGAGGCAGACAAAGACCCUUCCCACGUCCCUGGAGUAUGGGCGCGCUCAAAGGAGCCAUCUUGGGAGAUGUUUUCUGCGACACCUAAAAUGGCUGGGCUGGCACUCGAGGGUUUCACAGCCACUUCUCAACCCUCUCACCUGGGAUCUCAAGGACCAAACUCAAAAGAUUAUGAGAUUAUUAUGUUGAUUAUCUACUGCUGUUUUAUUCUGAAUGUACAACUCUGGAUGUGUCUUUGAGGAAUUUGUAGCUAAGAUUGAAAGGUUUAUUUAGGCAAAGACUGUGUGUUAAUAAGAGCUUUACAGUAAAUAUUCCUUAUGUUUACCCUCAAUAAGAUGUGUAAUUUUUUGAUUUUUUUCAAAUCAUCUUUUGUUUGUUAACUUUAUCUUCUUGUACAGUAAAAGUGUGAUGAUAUUUGA
Long non-coding RNA from Cololabis saira (Pacific saury), 699 nucleotides. RefSeq lists it as uncharacterized. The transcript is spliced from 3 exons. The record is from RefSeq and is a predicted model, not a curated record. Lineage: Eukaryota; Metazoa; Chordata; Actinopteri; Beloniformes; Belonidae.